Molecule: ribosomal RNA, 254 nt
Filed under: uncultured bacterium
Lineage: Bacteria
Description: partial 16S ribosomal RNA
Rfam family: Bacterial small subunit ribosomal RNA
Source: RNAcentral
UACGGGGGGAGCAAGCGUUGUUCGGAUUUACUGGGCGUAAAGGGCGCGUAGGCGGCCAGCACAAGUCAGUUGUGAAAUCUCCGAGCUUAACUCGGAAAGGUCAACUGAUACUGUGCGGCUAGAGUGCAGAAGGGGCAACUGGAAUUCUUGGUGUAGCGGUGAAAUGCGUAGAUAUCAAGAGGAACACCGGUGGCGAAGGCGGUUCUCUGGGCAUUACCUGACGCUGAGGAGCGAAAGUGUGGGGAGCGAACAGG